RNAcentral lists this ribosomal RNA (374 nucleotides) under uncultured bacterium. Its description in RNAcentral is "bacterial SSU rRNA". It matches the Rfam family "Bacterial small subunit ribosomal RNA", at positions 525 to 896 of the family's 1533-position model. The record is from RNAcentral.
ACGUAGGGUGCAAGCGUUGUCCGGAAUUAUUGGGCGUAAAGAGCUCGUAGGCGGUUUGUCGCGUCUGCUGUGAAAAUCCGAGGCUCAACCUCGGACCUGCAGUGGGUACGGGCAAACUAGAGUGCGGUAGGGGAGAUGGGAAUUCCUGGUGUAGCGGUGGAAUGCGCAGAUAUCAGGAGGAACACCGAUGGCGAAGGCACAUCUCUGGGCCGUAACUGACGCUGAGGAGCGAAAGCGUGGGGAGCGAACAGGAUUAGAUACCCUGGUAGUCCACGCCGUAAACGGUGGGUGCUAGUUGUGGGUUCCAUUCCACGGAAUCCGUGACGAAGUUAACACAUUAAGCACCCCGCCUGGGGAGUACGGUCGCAAGACUA